GACGUAGGGGGCAAGCGUUGUCCGGAAUCAUUGGGCGUAAAGAGCGUGUAGGCGGCCCGGUCAGUCGGUUGUGAAAGUCAGGGGCUCAACCCUUGAAUGCCGACCGAUACUGCCGGGCUAGAGUCCGGAAGAGGCGAGUGGAAUUCCUGGUGUAGCGGUGAAAUGCGCAGAUAUCAGGAGGAACACCAAUGGCGAAGGCAGCUCGCUGGGACGGUACUGACGCUGAGACGCGAAAGCGUGGGGAGCAAACAGG
RNAcentral lists this ribosomal RNA (253 nucleotides) under uncultured bacterium. Its description in RNAcentral is "partial 16S ribosomal RNA". It matches the Rfam family "Bacterial small subunit ribosomal RNA", at positions 524 to 776 of the family's 1533-position model. The record is from RNAcentral.